RNAcentral lists this ribosomal RNA (433 nucleotides) under uncultured bacterium. RNAcentral describes it as "partial 16S ribosomal RNA". It matches the Rfam family "Bacterial small subunit ribosomal RNA", at positions 29 to 507 of the family's 1533-position model. The record is from RNAcentral.
AACGAACGCUGGCGGCAUGCCUAACACAUGCAAGUCGAACGAGACCUUCGGGUCUAGUGGCGCACGGGUGCGUAACGCGUGGGAACCUGCCCUUAGGUUCGGAAUAACUCCCCGAAAGGGGUGCUAAUACCGGAUAAUGUCUUCGGACCAAAGAUUUAUCGCCUUUGGAUGGGCCCGCGUUGGAUUAGCUAGUUGGUAGGGUAAAAGCCUACCAAGGCGACGAUCCAUAGCUGGUCUGAGAGGAUGAUCAGCCACACUGGGACUGAGACACGGCCCAGACUCCUACGGGAGGCAGCCAGUGGGAAUAUUGGACAAUGGGCGAAAGCCUGGUCCAGCAAUUCCGCGUGAGUGAUGAAGGCCUUAGGGUUGUAAAGCUCUUUUACCCGGGAUGAUAAUGACAGUACCGGGAGAAUAAGCUCCGGCUAACUCCGUG